This 292-nucleotide ribosomal RNA is filed under the name uncultured bacterium. RNAcentral describes it as "partial 16S ribosomal RNA". The record is from RNAcentral.
GGACUACCCGGGUAUCUAAUCCUGUUUGCUCCCCACGCUUUCGCACAUCAGCGUCAAUACCGGACCAGGUAGCCGCCUUCGCCACCGGUGUUCUUCCCAAUAUCUACGAAUUUCACCUCUACACUGGGAAUUCCGCUACCCUCUUCCGGAUUCAAGCUCGCCAGUCUUAAAAGCAAUUCCCGGGUUGAGCCCAGGGCUUUCACUCCUAAUUUAGCGAGCCGCCUACGUGCGCUUUACGCCCAGUAAUUCCGAACAACGCUAGCCCCCUUCGUAUUACCGCGGCGGCUGGCAC